AUACGGAGGGUCCGAGCGUUAAUCGGAAUUACUGGGCGUAAAGCGCGCGUAGGUGGUUCAGUCAGUCAGAUGUGAAAGCCCCGGGCUCAACCUGGGAACUGCACCUGAUACUGCUGAGCUAGAGUACGGUAGAGGGCAGUGGAAUUUCCGGUGUAGCGGUGAAAUGCGUAGAGAUCGGAAGGAACACCAGUGGCGAAGGCGACUUCCUGGAUAGAUACUGACACGGAUGUGCAAAAGAUUGGGUAGCAAAAAGGAUUAGAAUCCCUGGUAUUCCACGCCGUAAACGAUGUCAACUAGCCGUUGGGGGACUUGAUCCUUUAGUGGCGAAGCUAACGCGAUAAGUUGACCGCCUGGGGAGUACGGCCGCAAGGUUAAAACUCAAAUGAAUUGGCGGGG
This 396-nucleotide ribosomal RNA is filed under the name uncultured bacterium. RNAcentral describes it as "partial 16S ribosomal RNA". It matches the Rfam family "Bacterial small subunit ribosomal RNA", at positions 523 to 918 of the family's 1533-position model. The record is from RNAcentral.